Molecule: ribosomal RNA, 447 nt
Filed under: Campylobacter showae
Lineage: Bacteria; Pseudomonadati; Campylobacterota; Epsilonproteobacteria; Campylobacterales; Campylobacteraceae
Description: bacterial SSU rRNA
Rfam family: Bacterial small subunit ribosomal RNA
Source: RNAcentral
AGUGAACGCUGGCGGCGUGCCUAAUACAUGCAAGUCGAACGGAGAUUAAGUAGCUUGCUAUUUAAUCUUAGUGGCGCACGGGUGAGUAAUAUAUAGCUAACUUGCCCAUUACUAAGGGACAACAGUUGGAAACGACUGCUAAUACCUUAUACUCCGUAUCUAUACAAGUAGGUACGGGAAAGUUUUUCGGUAAUGGAUAGGGCUAUAUCGUAUCAGCUAGUUGGUAAGGUAACGGCUUACCAAGGCUAUGACGCGUAACUGGUCUGAGAGGAUGAUCAGUCACACUGGAACUGAGACACGGUCCAGACUCCUACGGGAGGCAGCAGUAGGGAAUAUUGCUCAAUGGGGGAAACCCUGAAGCAGCAACGCCGCGUGGAGGAUGACACUUUUCGGAGCGUAAACUCCUUUUCUUGGGAAAGAAUUAUGACGGUACCCAAGGAAUAAGCC